This is a ribosomal RNA of 403 nucleotides. It matches the Rfam family "Bacterial small subunit ribosomal RNA", at positions 355 to 774 of the family's 1533-position model.
UGGGGGAUAUUGCACAAUGGGGGAAACCCUGAUGCAGCGACGCCGCGUGAGUGAAGACGGCCUUCGGGUUGUAAAGCUCUGUUGAGGGGGACGAAUACUGACGGUACCCCUUAAGAAAGCCACGGCUAACUACGUGCCAGCAGCCGCGGUAAUACGUAGGUGGCGAGCGUUGUCCGGAAUUACUGGGUGUAAAGGGAGCGUAGGCGGGGGUUUAAGUUGGAUGUGAAAUACCGCAGCUCAACUGCGGGGCUGCAUCCAAAACUGGACUUCUUGAGUGAAGUAGAGGCAGGCGGAAUUCCUAGUGUAGCGGUGAAAUGCGUAGAUAUUAGGAGGAACACCAGUGGCGAAGGCGGCCUGCUGGGCUUUUACUGACGCUGAGGCUCGAAAGCGUGGGGAGCAAACA